Molecule: transfer RNA, 73 nt
Filed under: Clostridia bacterium
Lineage: Bacteria; Bacillati; Bacillota; Clostridia
Also listed under: 2 other names
Description: tRNA-Arg
Rfam family: tRNA
About the family: Transfer RNA (tRNA) molecules are approximately 80 nucleotides in length.
Source: RNAcentral
GCACCUGUAGCUCAGUGGAUAGAGCGAUGGCUUCCGGAGCCAUGCGUCGGGGGUUCGAAUCCUCUCAGGUGUA